GGUAGAUCGGGACCAAGGUCCGGUGGAUUGCAGGGGGGGCGAGGGUGAAGCGGAAUUACUGGGCUGAAAUCGUGCGUAGGCGUCUUUUUAAGUCGGAUGUGAAAUCCCAGAGCUUAACUUGGGAAUUGCAUUCGAUACUGGGGAGCUAGAGGAUUGGAGAGGAUGGUAGAAUUCCAGGUGUAGCGGUGAAAUGCGUAGAGAUCUGGAGGAAUACCGAUGGCGAAGGCAGCCAUCUGGCCUAAUACUGACGCUGAGGUACGAAAGCAUGGGGAGCAAACAGGAUUAGAUACCCGAGUAGUC
Molecule: ribosomal RNA, 300 nt
Filed under: uncultured Prevotella sp.
Lineage: Bacteria; Pseudomonadati; Bacteroidota; Bacteroidia; Bacteroidales; Prevotellaceae
Description: bacterial SSU rRNA
Rfam family: Bacterial small subunit ribosomal RNA
Source: RNAcentral